UGUCCCAAUUCCGUAACUUUACUAAGUCCGCAUUAUAUUAUUUUUUACAAAUUCAAUUAUGUACUCACAUGAGUAAAUGCUCGAAAAUUUUGUAUUUCAUUGUAUAUACUAGGAACCGCAUGUAUUAAAACAAUUACCACAUAUAAAUAUAUACACACAUAUACAUGUUUAUACGGAAACUGUGUUAUUUUUAUUUUUUUUUUUUUUUACAAAUACAUAGCUUAUAAUUAAAUUUAGUUUUAUUAUAUUAUAUGUUGCUUUAAUAUUUUAUGCAUUGCAUACUCCAUUGUACAUUGUAACACAUAUUAAUUUUUUUUUUUUUUUUAUUGCAUUUGAACUUUUUAAUAUAAAAAUACCAUUAAAAAACAAAAUCGCAUCAUUAUUGUAUUAAGUUUUUAAAAUAAAACUUCAUGGUUUUUAAUAACAAAUUAUUUAUGCUAAACAAGUAUGUAUAUAUUUACAUAUAUAUAUAUAAGGAACAAAUCUAAGAAAACAAACGGAUACUUAAAUAUAUAAAAAUAAUAAAAAAAAAAACAUUGUUUUUUUAUUUUUUUUUUUUUUUUUAUCCCUUUUUCUCUAAAUUAUCCCUCAAAAAAGAAAAUGGGUAAACUAAUUAUUUUAACUUUUAUUCAUGUUUUAAGUAGUGUGUUCCUUAUAAGUUUAUAAAUAUACAUAGAAAGAAACAUACAUGUAUAACGCGUAUAUAAAUAUUAUGUAAAUUACUUGUACAAAGUACAUGCAUAUAUAAGGCAAUUCAUUUACACCAUCAAAAAUUUAUACGCUUCUUUUUUUUUUUUUUCUUUUUUUUUUUUUUUUUUUCAAAUGCAAUAAAAUAGAUCUAAAAUUAGUAAAAGUAAAAAAGCCUAUUGAUGAAGGUAAGCUUGCAAUUACUCGGUUUUACUCACAUUAGUAUGACAAGAAAAGAGCAGCAUACAAAUAUGUAUAAAUAUAUAUUAAAAGAAAAAUAAGAACAUCAUCAUUUUUGUUUACAACUGUGUAUUUUAUUUUUUUUUUUCUUAACAUUUAAAGACACAACCUUGCCACCAGCAUUAUUAGACAACGAACAGACAAAAGAAAAAAAAACAUUGAAAAAAAAGUCCAAAUACAGAACUCGAAUUAAAUGGACCAGGCAAGAGGUUGAGUUUCUCAUUGAUGGAAUAAAUAAAUAUGGUUUAUCUAAUUGGGCUAAAAUUUUAAAUGCGUAUGAUUUCCCAAAGUAUAGGUUAAAAAAAAAGUUAUAAAAGUUAGUUACAAAAGUUAGUUACAAAGCAGUGCAUAUUCUACCUCACUGUGUGUGUUUUUUUUUUUCUUUUUUCUUUACACUUUAAUUACAGAACCAACGUAAAUUUAAAAGACAAAUACAGAAAUUUUAAAAAGGU
Molecule: long non-coding RNA, 1379 nt
Filed under: Piliocolobus tephrosceles (Ugandan red Colobus)
Lineage: Eukaryota; Metazoa; Chordata; Mammalia; Primates; Cercopithecidae
Description: lncRNA (ENSPTEG00000013454.1)
Source: RNAcentral